GAUCGAGCGGUAGAGAGGAGCUUGCUCCUCUUGAGAGCGGCGGACGGGUGAGUAAUGCCUAGGAAUCUGCCUGGUAGUGGGGGAUAACGUUCGGAAACGGACGCUAAUACCGCAUACGUCCUACGGGAGAAAGCAGGGGACCUUCGGGCCUUGCGCUAUCAGAUGAGCCUAGGUCGGAUUAGCUAGUUGGUGAGGUAAUGGCUCACCAAGGCGACGAUCCGUAACUGGUCUGAGAGGAUGAUCAGUCACACUGGAACUGAGACACGGUCCAGACUCCUACGGGAGGCAGCAGUGGGGAAUAUUGGACAAUGGGCGAAAGCCUGAUCCAGCCAUGCCGCGUGUGUGAAGAAGGUCUUCGGAUUGUAAAGCACUUUAAGUUGGGAGGAAGGGCAGUAAAUUAAUACUUUGCUGUUUUGACGUUACCGACAGAAUAAGCACCGGCUAACUCUGUGCCAGCAGCCGCGGUAAUACAGAGGGUGCAAGCGUUAAUCGGAAUUACUGGGCGUAAAGCGCGCGUAGGUGGUUUGUUAAGUUGGAUGUGAAAUCCCCGGGCUCAACCUGGGAACUGCAUUCAAAACUGACUGACUAGAGUAUGGUAGAGGGUGGUGGAAUUUCCUGUGUAGCGGUGAAAUGCGUAGAUAUAGGAAGGAACACCAGUGGCGAAGGCGACCACCUGGACUAAUACUGACACUGAGGUGCGAAAGCGUGGGGAGCAAACAGGAUUAGAUACCCUGGUAGUCCACGCCGUAACGAUGUCAACUAGCCGUUGGAAGCCUUGAGCUUUUAGUGGCGCAGCUACGCAUUAAGUUGACCCCUGGGGAGUACGCCGCAGGUUAAACUCAAUGAUUGACGGGGCCCGCACAGCGGUGAGCAUGUGGUUUAUUCGAAGCACGCGAAA
Molecule: ribosomal RNA, 898 nt
Filed under: Pseudomonas putida
Lineage: Bacteria; Pseudomonadati; Pseudomonadota; Gammaproteobacteria; Pseudomonadales; Pseudomonadaceae
Description: bacterial SSU rRNA
Rfam family: Bacterial small subunit ribosomal RNA
Source: RNAcentral